GAGGGCAUAGCUCAGUGGUAAAGCACAUGCUUAGCAUGCACAGGGUUCUGGAUUCAAUCCCCAGUACCUCCA
This 72-nucleotide transfer RNA is filed under the name Camelus bactrianus (Bactrian camel). It matches the Rfam family "tRNA". Rfam says of the family: Transfer RNA (tRNA) molecules are approximately 80 nucleotides in length. Their secondary structure includes four short double-helical elements and three loops (D, anti-codon, and T loops). Further hydrogen bonds mediate the characteristic L-shaped molecular structure. tRNAs have two regions of fundamental functional importance: the anti-codon, which is responsible for specific mRNA codon recognition, and the 3' end, to which the tRNAs corresponding amino acid is attached (by aminoacyl-tRNA synthetases). tRNAs cope with the degeneracy of the genetic code in two manners: having more than one tRNA (with a specific anti-codon) for a particular amino acid; and 'wobble' base-pairing, i.e. permitting non-standard base-pairing at the 3rd anti-codon position. RNAcentral also lists the same sequence under 2 other names. The record is from Rfam by way of RNAcentral. Lineage: Eukaryota; Metazoa; Chordata; Mammalia; Artiodactyla; Camelidae.